Molecule: small RNA, 568 nt
Filed under: Pan troglodytes (chimpanzee)
Lineage: Eukaryota; Metazoa; Chordata; Mammalia; Primates; Hominidae
Description: retained intron
Source: RNAcentral
GAGCCCGCGCCCUCGUCCGCGCGACCCGGCGGCGGGCUCCAGGCCGGCAGCAUGAGCGGCGGCGGCGACGUGGUGUGCACCGGCUGGCUGAGGAAAUCGCCUCCCGAGAAGAAGUUGAGGCGCUAUGCCUGGAAGAAACGCUGGUUUAUCCUGCGGAGUGGCCGGAUGAGCGGUGACCCAGAUGUUCUGGAAUACUACAAGAACGAUCACUCCAAGAAGCCUCUGCGGAUCAUCAACCUGAACUUCUGUGAGCAGGUAGAUGCAGGCCUGACCUUUAACAAGAAGGAGCUGCAGGAUAGUUUUGUGUUUGACAUCAAGACCAGUGAACGCACCUUUUACCUGGUGGCUGAGACAGAAGAGGACAUGAAUAAGUGGGUCCAGAGCAUCUGCCAGAUCUGUGGCUUCAAUCAGGCUGAGGAGAGCACAGGUAUGAGAACGCACACAGAUCUUUCUCAUAGGGGGUUGAGGUGAGGCCCUUGGAUUCCUGGAGCAUUGAGAGCAGGCUCUAGCUAAGGUUUCCUGUUGGAAGAGCAUUCAUAGAUAAAGGGUAAAGAGUGUGAAGGGGUUG